Cherax quadricarinatus is the source of this 272-nucleotide non-coding RNA. The record is from RefSeq and is a predicted model, not a curated record. Lineage: Eukaryota; Metazoa; Arthropoda; Malacostraca; Decapoda; Parastacidae.
CAUCGCUGAGCAAGAAAUGUACACCUUCCUCGCUAGAGCGAUGCAGCGCUUCACAAUUGAUUACAAGUAUGAAGACAUUGAAGUUGUGUGUCGCCUGGUGUUUUCCUCUGCUACACCACUCAAGUUCAGCGUCACGGAGAGGCGCUGACUCCACUGUAAGAGACGCUGACCAACUGCUGUCAGAAACGCUGAUUCAACAACUACGACAUUUUCAAACUUGAAGUGUUAUUUUUACUCGAUAUUUUUUUUUUAUAAAAUUACUAUGUACUUUU